This 652-nucleotide ribosomal RNA is filed under the name Sarcocystis hjorti. RNAcentral's name for it is "SSU rRNA". It matches the Rfam family "Eukaryotic small subunit ribosomal RNA", at positions 455 to 1077 of the family's 1831-position model. Lineage: Eukaryota; Apicomplexa; Conoidasida; Eucoccidiorida; Sarcocystidae. The record is from RNAcentral.
CUCAGGGAGGUAGUGACAAGAAAUAACAACACUGGAAAUUUUAUUUCUAGUGAUUGGAAUGAUGGGAAUUUAAACCCCUUUCAGAGUAACAAUUGGAGGGCAAGUCUGGUGCCAGCAGCCGCGGUAAUUCCAGCUCCAAUAGCGUAUAUUAAAGUUGUUGCAGUUAAAAAGCUCGUAGUUGGAUGUCUGCUGGAAGCAAUCAGUCCGCCCUAUUUGUAGGGUGUGCACUUGAUGAAUUCUGGCAUCUAUGUCCUAAUGUGAUAGAUACGGCGGUGUAUAUGGGUUAAUCCUAUAUACCCGUUUGUAUAUUAUAUUGGGAUAAUACCGUUACUUUGAGAAAAUUAGAGUGUUUGAAGCAGGCUAAUUGCCUUGAAUACUGCAGCAUGGAAUAACAAUAUAGGAUUUCGGUUCUAUUUUGUUGGUUUCUAGGACUGAAAUAAUGAUUAAUAGGGACAGUUGGGGGCAUUCGUAUUUAACUGUCAGAGGUGAAAUUCUUAGAUUUGUUAAAGACGAACUACUGCGAAAGCAUUUGCCAAAGAUGUUUUCAUUAAUCAAGAACGAAAGUUAGGGGCUCGAAGACGAUCAGAUACCGUCGUAGUCUUAACCAUAAACUAUGCCGACUAGAGAUAGGAAAAUGUCAUUUUUCUGACUU